This 123-nucleotide small RNA is filed under the name Variovorax sp. PAMC 28711. Its description in RNAcentral is "Betaproteobacteria-1 RNA". It matches the Rfam family "Betaproteobacteria-1 RNA". Lineage: Bacteria; Pseudomonadati; Pseudomonadota; Betaproteobacteria; Burkholderiales; Comamonadaceae. The record is from Rfam by way of RNAcentral.
CACUGCGCUGGUUGGAUCGGAUUAACAACAGCGGCGCAGGGUGAGUCCCCAACUGUUGGAUAGGUGCUGAAACAGGGGAAAGGGUGGCGAAGCCAGAGCCCUUGCAUCGAACGUCUGGCGGGU